CCUUUAUUGCGUCAGUAACGAGAACAUAUAAAUACGCAGUGCAUCGCCAAUUAUCCACAUUUCGCGUCAAACCUAUGGAUAAAUCAGAAAAUGGCAAAUAACGUUCCACGUGAGUUGGACAGCUCAGAGCUGCAAAUGAUCCACUCUCUGCUUGAGGACAUGCUUGGGGACUUUCCAACAUUUCCUGAGGAACCACUGAGCAGCAACCAUGUUUGCUAAGGCCUCAACACAGGGCCAUAUCCCUAUGAGCCAUGUGAACCACUGGCUGGGUAUGAACCCUAUAUGUACCCCAAGUCAACUGGCCCCUGCUUGGCACCACUGGACAACAUGUAUUGUCUUCCAGGUGCUAUUUUCCUGGACCAGAUUGAGAAUCAGCCUCCUCUACACAAUGUCAGCGUGCAUUCAUCCAACCAAGACAAGCAAACAAACCGUGUUCCCAAGCCUUCUCCACCUCAGUCCUCCACCUCCAAACAGCAACAUUGUGGAGCGGUAAAAAAAGAGCCGUACGUUAAAAGACCUCCAAAUGCGUUUAUGGUCUUCAUGAGGGAGAACAGACACAACAUAUCUCAGACCCUGAAGCCCAAGCACAGUGUGGAGGCCAACACCAUCCUGGGACAGAUGGUUAGUGUUAAUACUGCGCUCAUCAAUCACCUGGCAAAAGUGAUCUCAUACUUUAUUAUUUAGCUGAAGUUAUCGUAUAUCAUAUUUAUUCUUUUUAAAGAAAUGAAGUACUGAACACUUUGGUUUGAAUGCAGUGCUAAAUAUAUUUAUAUACAUGAAAAAAUGUAAAUGCGGUAGAAAAGGCGAUACAUAAUGUCGGUCCUCCAAGAGGUGGAAUUUUUUCUUAAACGUGGACAGAGCACCAUCAAGCCCAUGAGUGAGAUGGAAUGGUUAUAGUGUAAAGAUUUAGAACAUACUGCCCUCUGACGGCCAGCGAUUACAACGAAUCUAAAAAUAUUCCCAAAAGUUUUUGAAUACUAUUCAUUGCUAUUUACUGGUGAAAGAAAGAAAAAACGAGAGUAAAAUGAAACAAUUUAUUCAUUCACUAAAUAGAAGGACAGAAAAUUAGACAGAUGGCGUGAAUAGAGCACAUUGUUGACUGGGGUGAAACCACAUUCACAGACUUAAACUGAGAAAUGAUCAAGCACCAGAGCGUCAAUCAUAAGAGUAGAGAUCAACAAACUGAGCACAGGAGCGAGCCAUAAUGGGGCAAGGUCACAGAGUUAGAGAUGGGAGGAAACAAGAUAUGAAUUGACAAAAAAUGUAAAAAUGAAAAUAUUAACUAUAUUAGGUUGAUUCCAAAUGUGAUUCUACACAAAAUCUAAAAUAUUAUUCAGAAAAUGUUGGUGUCAUGAAUCAUUUUUCCAUGAUUGAACUUUAACCUGCAUCAGAAAACAACAAGCACAAAAGUAUAAUUGGGAACCAGAUAGUAAAAUGUCUUUUUAGUUCAUGUAAACCUUUUCUCUCAGCCUUAAAUCUAAAUUAGCUUGUACUUUACAAUUGUGAUGAUGGAGAUUAUGAUGAGUCAGUGCAUUCGGAUAAUGAUGCACAAGACAAAACAGUGCUCCUCAGCUGACAAACUCGGCGGACAGUCGGCGUGUGUAGCGGACAGAACGCACCUUCAGUUCGUGGUAGCACUGGACAAAGCUGUGGUAUAUAAAGGUGAUGGGCAGAGCAAGGAGAACAAUGCCACUCACAACACAGAAGCCCCCCAAAAUACGUCCCGCAACAGUCACUGGGUACAUGUCGCCGUAGCCCACUGUGGUCAUGGAAAUGAUCACCCACCAACUGGCAGCGGGAAUGCUACUGUAGUCUUGGUUUCCUUGCUCCAACAACUGGGCCAGUGCGCUAAAGAUGGCCAUGGCUACGCAAAUAAAGACCAGGAGCAUCACCAUCUCACGGUAGCAGCGCCUCAGAGUGAGGCCGAGCGUCUGCAGACCCAGGAAGUGCCGGGCGAGCUUGAUCACCCAGAAGAUCCGCAUGAUGCGAAGCACCCUCAGCGUGACGCCAGCCCUCUGAAGCUGCGAGUUUUCCCCGGUCAGGGUUGUCAUGAUGACUGAGAUGUAAUAUGGCAUGAUGGCCAGCAGGUCAAUUAUGUUGAGGGGGCGUCGCAUAAAUUCACACUUAUCUCGAGACACCAAAAACCGGCCUGUACAUUCCACUGUGAACCAUCCGAUACACACUGCCUCGAUGAUCCUGGAGGAGACGACAAGAUUAAUAAGAGUUAUAUAGUCUCAUUGAUGCACGGCACUGUACCUGUGUUGGUUCAGCGUCUCGGCUGCCUUCCACUCAGGUAAUGUGCUGGCACAAAGCAUGACCAUGGAGAUGAGGACAAACAUCACUGAGACAGAGGCCAGGACCUGCGCUGCCAGUGAGGACGUGGGUUCCUCAAAAGUUUCUCGAAUUCUGUCAAGCCAGUGAUGCUGCGGAUCCUCAUGUGCUCUCGGCACGACCUCAGGAAAGAAGUGCACAAAGUAGUCAGACAUGCAGUGGUCAAGCCGACGUUGGCAGCAGGGCUGAAGGUCGGCGCUCUCCAGACCCCAGUAGAGCAUCUCGUUGUAGAAGGACAGCUCACACAUGUGCGGGAUGAAUCGCAGUUUUCCAUGCUGAAGAUAAGACACGAUGAAACCGAAAGCUUCUGAGUGACGGUCGAAAAAAAACUCAUUACUUUCAUGGUCAUAGUCAUCGCACACUUCCAGGAGUUCACUUUCGGAUGCACAUCGCUGUAACCGGCUGAGUCGAGUGAGAGGAAGUCUCUUCAUUAGUUCUGCUGGGAAACAAAACCUGCGGCCGCCAACGUUCAGCGUACACAGACCGGCCAACUUCAUCUUCAGGAGAUUAGCGUCACAAAACAUCUGUGCGGAUGUCGAACCCUGCAUAAAAGACAAUAAGAGGAACAGAAAAAUACUUGUGUUUUGUUAUUUGUUUUAGUGAAAACGACAGAUUGUAAGGAUGAAUCUGCAUCAUCAGCAACCCAAUAGAAGCUCUGUUGCCACCAUAAUGUGCAAGAAAUAUUGAGUUUUCAGCUCCAUUCAUGUCUCCGUUGAUUGACGCAAGCUCUGCCUUUGACCAAACAGAGAAAAGGAGGCGUGGAAUCGUGAGCUUAACUGACAGAUGAGCAUUGAGAAAUCAUACUUAUCCAGAACGUAAAAUGAAAUUAAUGCCACAACAUUCUGUUUUGCGAUUUAGCAUUAAAAAAUACUGAAAUUAGUAAGCAAUUGUAAAACAUACGUGUUUAAAAAGUUACAUAACACUAUUUUUAUCUUCACCUUCUCUAGUUGAGUGAAAAAAUAUCUUCAUCUGUCUAAUGUUGGCAAAGUGAAUUCAUCCUCUACACCACAAGCUCAAAUCACCUCUCUGUGUUGUUUGACAUACAUUUGAUAUC
Synchiropus splendidus (mandarinfish) is the source of this 3385-nucleotide RNA transcript. It is a transcript of the gene named protein pop-1-like, with no coding region annotated. The record is from RefSeq and is a predicted model, not a curated record. Lineage: Eukaryota; Metazoa; Chordata; Actinopteri; Syngnathiformes; Callionymidae. The transcript is spliced from 6 exons.